GCCGCAUGCCCAGCGCCUGGAAGCGUGCCUGGCACAUAGAAGGUGCUUGGUAAAUCUUUCAGACAAACAGAUGAAUGAGCAAAGGAACUUCUGGUGAUCUCAGGACACAAGCCUGAGCCACCUCCGUUUCCUUUCUCUCUCCAGAGGGUUGGACGGAACCCUCUGGAGAAGCAAAUUCGGCAGCUUCUGGACAAAUCAGCAUCGGCAAGACCUGCUUCCUGUUUCAUGUCUAAAAAGUGGGGGGUUGGGGAAGCCUCACUGAGCACAAAAUUUGGUUAGUCAAAUAGAAGCCCACGUGUGCAGCCGAGUGCCAAAGGAGCGCUGCUCACUGUCAUGACUGUAGCUUUGCCUGGACCCCUGCAUCCUGCCCCGAAACAGAACGAGGAAAUGAUGGCUGGGUUCUGCCAAAGGGCACGUGGCUCUUUCAAGGGCACACGACAUGAUCCUGGACCCAUAGGCCCUUCACCUCCUGCAUCGAAGCCAGCUCUGAGUCCUGAAGAUCGAUCACACCAUAG
Molecule: long non-coding RNA, 515 nt
Organism: Canis lupus familiaris (dog)
Lineage: Eukaryota; Metazoa; Chordata; Mammalia; Carnivora; Canidae
Exons: 3
Source: RefSeq, a predicted model, not a curated record